RNAcentral lists this ribosomal RNA (336 nucleotides) under Triticum aestivum (bread wheat). RNAcentral describes it as "partial small subunit ribosomal RNA". The record is from RNAcentral. Lineage: Eukaryota; Viridiplantae; Streptophyta; Magnoliopsida; Poales; Poaceae.
AUGAAGCAGCAAGGCCCGAGUUCUAGGCGAGCAGCAGGUGCGGAACGGUGGGGCUUUAUCUCCUCUUGUCCAGCACAGGCUGCUGGACAAGAUGAAGGGAAGCCAGGGUGGCUCAAAUGGUGGCUGCUCCUCUCCGGCUUGGACCAGAACCCCAGCAACCGCGUAAAUGCAGAGAAACAAGCAGAGCAAAUGGCGCAGCCGUCUCCUCCCCUCGCUUGCUUCCUUCUCUUGGAGCCCCUGUUCCAGCUCUCUCUCUCUCUCUCUCUCUCUCUCUCUCUCUCUGGAUUUGUUUAUGAAUUAACUCUUGUGUUCUUGAUUGGGUUUUGGUUCAGAUAG